Long non-coding RNA from Maylandia zebra (zebra mbuna), 1685 nucleotides. RefSeq lists it as uncharacterized. The record is from RefSeq and is a predicted model, not a curated record. Lineage: Eukaryota; Metazoa; Chordata; Actinopteri; Cichliformes; Cichlidae.
UUGCUGAUUCCAAGAGAGUCUUUGUGGAAAUCCUGUUUGGCUUUUUGUUAUUUUAAUUCUCUUCUCUGUUUUCCAGAACAGUUCUCCACAGUCGCUGUCCACAUGGGUCAGUGGGACCAAGAAGCACUCUGCUAAUGUGUGGACUCUGACCAGCAACAUCCAGCAAGACCCAGACAGCGUUUUCUAUCUCCCAGCUGGAGUUUUUGUUUGUCUGUGACUGGAGAGUCAGAUUUUGUUGAGCUUCACACUUGCAGAGGUUAAUACACUCUACUGAUCCCUGAUGGGAGAAUCAUCAAUUUUGGCAACAAAGAAGCCUGGUGGAUGUUUGUUUACAGUCUGAUGAUGGGACAUCAUGCUCUGCAUCGUCAAAGUUUGCCUCCUCAUUAUUAUUCAUACCCAGUAAUGUGAAGUAUGCUCAUAUCUACUAUAACUGAACCAACCUGGUGCUCUUCAUUUAUGGAGGCUGUUGAGUCUGAAUGUUGGAUGUUGUGUAUCUCGUGUUCUCUGGGCUUUGUUGUCCUCAGUCUUUUCGCAGGAUCAGAAAACAAAACCAGGAGGCACGUAAAUGUUUCUUCUCCAUGAUGUUUCUUCAAAUGUUUCUUCUGGAUGAUGAUAAGACUGACACGUGAUGCCACCUUUGGUCUUGUGAUGAAGCAAAGCUCAGGAAGAAGUGGGAUUAAAUGGUACCCACAUGUGUGCUGCUGAGAAGGAUGUACAGGGGCACCUGCAGCCAAAUCCAAGCCUCAGAGCAGAGCAGCAGUUUGUGCUCACAGAUGGUGACGGUGUGGAGAGACGGUGGUGUUUCCUCAGAAGAACCAGCAGAGUCACAAAGGACACCAGUCCAUCUCACCACCUUGACUUGCUGACUGAUGUUCGUCUACACUGCACAGAGGAAAUCAGCUGACCGAGGAGUGUUUCUGAGUGAGGGGGGAGGAGUCAUCAUCCAGGUAAAGUGACGUAGAUCCGUGGACACACUUGUCUCCCCUUUAAAGGAGACGAUCCAAGUCAUCCUUAAAUAUGGGCAGCAUAUCAGUCUUGGACUGUCUAACCUGCAGCACUGAAUGACCACCACACAUGAGCAUGUUCCUGCAACAUUCAGCAUCUGAUCCUUCAUCUGUGUGCUUCUGCUUUUGUGUCACAUGUCAAACAGCUGGAGAGGAAACUACACCAGUGUACUGGGAUGUUUCACCAACACGUGCCAGAUGCUGUUCCUUCAUGGUGACAUCACCAGAGACAGCCCCGCCCACCUCAGGACCUCACCAUUGAUCAUGAUGAUUAUAAUAAUGACAGCGAGCGGAACUAAGACUGUAAAAAUCCACGACCAGAAUGUUUCUUUCUAAUUAUGAAUGAAUAGUGAGAGCCUCUUUCUCUGUUUUGUCUGUUUUGGGGUUGUUUUUUUUUACCUCAUUUGUUACUAACAAAGUUCACAAACUCACACAGUUUACAUUCUGUAUGUUUCCAUCUUUACCAGCCACACUCUAACUGCAUUUAAGAAAAGAAUCCUUAGAAAUCGUUGUUUUUCUCUUUUGUAAUUGAUGAUAAUUCAGUGAAUAUACUGCGCUGCUUCCUUUUAUUGCGUCACACAUUGCUUUAAGUUUUUCAGUUCCAGUUAUUUUUUACUGCUGUUUGAAUUCUCUGAAUGUUUGACCCUGUAGACUGUUUGAUGGACUGCUUGUCUUCCUGUU